UACAGAGGUGGCAAGCGUUGUUCGGAAUUACUGGGCGUAAAGGGCGAGUAGGUGGCCAUCUAAGUCAGACGUGAAAUCCCCCGGCUUAACCUGGGAACUGCGUCUGAUACUGGACGGCUUGAGUAUGGGAGAGGAACGGUAGAAUUCCAGGUGUAGCGGUGAAAUGACGUAGAUAUCGGGAAGAACACCAGUGGCGAAGGCGACUACCUGGCCUGUUCUUGACGCUGAGGCGCGAAAGCUAGGGAGCAACGGG
Molecule: ribosomal RNA, 253 nt
Filed under: uncultured bacterium
Lineage: Bacteria
Description: partial 16S ribosomal RNA
Rfam family: Bacterial small subunit ribosomal RNA
Source: RNAcentral